RNAcentral lists this ribosomal RNA (497 nucleotides) under uncultured bacterium. Its description in RNAcentral is "partial 16S ribosomal RNA". It matches the Rfam family "Bacterial small subunit ribosomal RNA", at positions 28 to 507 of the family's 1533-position model. The record is from RNAcentral.
GACGAACGCUGGCGGCGUGCCUAAUACAUGCAAGUAGAACGCUGAAGAGAGGAGCUUGCUCUUCUUGGAUGAGUUGCGCACGGGUGAGUAACGCGUAGGUAACCUGCCUUGUAGCGGGGGAUAACUAUUGGAAACGAUAGCUAAUACCGCAUAACAAUGGAUGACACAUGUCAUUUAUUUGAAAGGGGCAAUUGCUCCACUACAAGAUGGACCUGCGUUGUAUUAGCUAGUAGGUGAGGUAAUGGCUCACCUAGGCGACGAUACAUAGCCGACCUGAGAGGGUGAGCGGCCACACUGGGACUGAGACACGGCCCAGACUCCUACGGGAGGCAGCAGUAGGGAAUCUUCGGCAAUGGGGGCAACCCUGACCGAGCAACGCCGCGUGAGUGAAGAAGGUUUUCGGAUCGUAAAGCUCUGUUGUAAGUCAAGAACGGGUGUGAGAGUGGAAAGUUCACACUGUGACGGUAGCUGACCAGAAAGGGACGGCUAACUACGUG